This 442-nucleotide ribosomal RNA is filed under the name uncultured bacterium. RNAcentral describes it as "partial 16S ribosomal RNA". It matches the Rfam family "Bacterial small subunit ribosomal RNA", at positions 338 to 795 of the family's 1533-position model. The record is from RNAcentral.
CCUACGGGAGGCAGCAGUGGGGAAUAUUGGGCAAUGGGCGCAAGCCUGACCCAGCAACGCCGCGUGAAGGAAGAAGGCUUUCUGGUUGUAAACUUCUUUUGACAGGGAAGAGUAGCAGGCGGUGCGUGUCGACUAAGCCACGGCUAACUACGUGCCAGCAGCCGCGGUAAUACGUAGGUGGCAAGCGUUGUCCGGAUUUACUGGGUGUAAAGGGCGUGUAGCCGGGUUGAUAAGUCAGAUGUGAAAUCCUGCGGCUUAACCGCAGAACUGCAUUUGAAACUGUUGGUCUUGAGUACUGGAGAGGCAGACGGAAUUCCUAGUGUAGCGGUGAAAUGCGUAGAUAUUAGGAGGAACACCAGUGGCGAAGGCGGUCUGCUGGACAGCAACUGACGGUGAGGCGCGAAAGCGUGGGGAGCAAACAGGAUUAGAUACCCCUGUAGUC